Molecule: ribosomal RNA, 368 nt
Filed under: uncultured Desulfarculaceae bacterium
Lineage: Bacteria; Pseudomonadati; Thermodesulfobacteriota; Desulfarculia; Desulfarculales; Desulfarculaceae
Description: bacterial SSU rRNA
Rfam family: Bacterial small subunit ribosomal RNA
Source: RNAcentral
CCGGUUCUGCCGGAACAGAGUGACAGGUGCUGCAUGGCUGUCGUCAGCUCGUGUCGUGAGAUGUUGGGUUAAGUCCCGCAACGAGCGUAACCCUUGUCUUUAGUUGCCAGUAUUCAGUUAGGCACUCUAAAGAGACUGCCUCGGUUAACGGGAGGAAGGUGGGGAUGACGUCAAGUCCUCAUGGCCUUUAUACCCAGGGCUACACACGUGCUACAAUGGGCUGUACAAAGGGUUGCUAUCCCGUGAGGGGGCGCUAAUCCCAAAAAGCAGUCCUAAGUUCGGAUCGUAGUCUGCAACUCGACUACGUGAAGUCGGAAUCGCUAGUAAUCGUGGAUCAGAAUGUCACGGUGAAUACGUUCCCGGGUCUU